Molecule: long non-coding RNA, 589 nt
Organism: Apis mellifera (honey bee)
Lineage: Eukaryota; Metazoa; Arthropoda; Insecta; Hymenoptera; Apidae
Exons: 3
Source: RefSeq, a predicted model, not a curated record
UAUAUUGAGUUUUUAUAAGAAUAGAGAUUUUAACUUUUUAAAAAAUACAACAUUUUUUAAACAUUUCAAGCAACGUGAUUACGUAUUAAUUGAAACAUGUAUUUACUUUAAAAUCGAUACGUUCAAAAUGAAAAGGGAGCUUAUCAAUGUAAAUUAUACAAUAUUGAAUCCGGGUGUGAAUCCGAUUAUGUUAUUUAAGAAUAUGUGAAUAUGCAUAUCUAUGUAUGUAACAUGAAUUUACAAUAAUAUAAUAUUUUGCAUAGCAGAAAACUUCGUGAAGUGUAAUAUAUUAUAAUUUUGAGAGUACGAAUGUCGAUAAUAAUCUCUUAUGGAAAAUAAUGACGUAAUUUUCAUCCAAAGUUUCCAUUCAAGGAUAUGUUACAGGUAUACAUGGCACAUGUGGUAUAUAAAUUAUUUCACCGUUUCUAGAGCAGCAAAUCGGGAACUAACAAAUUAGUUCUUUUUCUGCUAAGAUUGAAUGAAUGUGAGGUGUUCGAAAUUAAUUUAUUAUUUAUCUUUGGAAGAAGAAACAGAUCAAGGAAAAGAGAAAGAGAUAAAUCAAGAGAAGAGAGGUGCAAUAAUAUCUUUU